This 610-nucleotide ribosomal RNA is filed under the name Hepatozoon sp. RNAcentral's name for it is "SSU rRNA". It matches the Rfam family "Eukaryotic small subunit ribosomal RNA", at positions 314 to 914 of the family's 1831-position model. The record is from RNAcentral. Lineage: Eukaryota; Apicomplexa; Hepatozoidae.
AUCAGCUUUCGACGGUAAUGUAUUGGCUUACCGUGGCAGUGACGGUUAACGGGGAAUUAGGGUUCAAUUCCGGAGAGGGAGCCUGAGAAACGGCUACCACAUCUAAGGAAGGCAGCAGGCGCGCAAAUUACCCAAUUCUAAUAGCAUAAGAGAGGUAGUGACAAGAAAUAACAGUACAAGGCAGUUUAAAUGCUUUGUAAUUGGAAUGAUAGAAAUUUAAAUACUUUUUAAAGUAUCAAUUGGAGGGCAAGUCUGGUGCCAGCAGCCGCGGUAAUUCCAGCUCCAAUAGCGUAUAUUAAAAUUGUUGCAGUUAAAAAGCUCGUAGUUGAAUUUUUGCUAAAAAUAACCGGUCUGCUUUUAUUAAUAAAGGUGGCAUCUUGGUGUGUUUUUAGCAAUAAUGUCCUUUGAAAUGUUUUUUACUUUAUUGUAAAAGACAAUUUUCAGGAUUUUUACUUUGAGAAAAUUAGAGUGUUUCAAGCAGGCUAACGUUUUGAAUACUGCAGCAUGGAAUAAUAAAAUAGGAUUUUAGUUCUACGUUAAUGGUUUUAAGAGCUAAAUUAAUGAUUGAUAGGAGCAGUUGGGGGCAUUUGUAUUUAACUGUCAGAGGUGA